GACGAACGCUGGCGGCGUGCUUAACACAUGCAAGUCGAACGAGAGCGUAGAGAAAGCUUGCUUUUUCUACAAUCUAGUGGCAAACGGGUGAGUAACGCGUAAACAACCUGCCCUACGGAUGGGGACAACAGCUGGAAACGGCUGCUAAUACCGAAUACGUUCCGAAAGUCGCAUGACUAUCGGAAGAAAGGAUGGCCUCUAUUUAUAAGCUAUCGCCGGAGGAGGGGUUUGCGUCUGAUUAGCUAGUUGGAGGGGUAACGGCCCACCAAGGCGACGAUCAGUAGCCGGUCUGAGAGGAUGAACGGCCACAUUGGGACUGAGACACGGUCCAGACUCCUACGGGAGGCAGCAGUGGGGAAUCUUCCGCAAUGGGCGAAAGCCUGACGGAGCAACGCCGCGUGAGUGAAGACGGCCUUCGGGUUGUAAAGCUCUGUUAUACGGGACGAAUAAUCUUGUGGUUAAUACCCAUGAGAAGUGACGGUACCGUAAGAGAAAGCCACGGCUAACUACGUG
Molecule: ribosomal RNA, 513 nt
Filed under: uncultured bacterium
Lineage: Bacteria
Description: partial 16S ribosomal RNA
Rfam family: Bacterial small subunit ribosomal RNA
Source: RNAcentral